GGCUCACCGCAGUACCUGGCCACGCUCACACUCGGCUCAUCUUCCCAGGAAGACUUAGCCCUCCGGGCAGCACUGCCGCAGCCUCCUUCAGCCAAAGUCAGGAGGAGCCGGACGCUCACCGCAAAUCCCACUGAGUCGGCCUGCUUCCUCCGCCCUCCACGCGCCACAGCACUUCCCCUGCAAGCACCGUGUUCAUGUGACCAUCACCACUACCUGUUCCUGCUUCAGCACCCUUCCUGCACAUGAGGAGCAAUUGCCCUGUCUCCUUGUGAUCCUCCUGGCUGCAAGCAAAGCUUUCGCAGACUUUCCUAGCUCAGUUCUGAUCUUGACAUUUUGAAGAGAACUCAUUCCUAUGUGGGGACUUACUGUAAUUUGUUCUGAUUUGCUGUACAGUACAGUGCUGUAGUUUUAUGUUCUGUCAUACAUUAGGGUACUGCAUGUAAAAGUGAUGCAAAUAAAAGCAAAG
Molecule: long non-coding RNA, 466 nt
Filed under: Chinchilla lanigera (long-tailed chinchilla)
Lineage: Eukaryota; Metazoa; Chordata; Mammalia; Rodentia; Chinchillidae
Description: lncRNA (ENSCLAG00000023799.1)
Source: RNAcentral